RNAcentral lists this small RNA (38 nucleotides) under Archaeoglobus fulgidus. The record is from RNAcentral. Lineage: Archaea; Methanobacteriati; Methanobacteriota; Archaeoglobi; Archaeoglobales; Archaeoglobaceae.
CACCUGGUCGCUGAUUUUGUCUGCAGCCGCAAUUGCCU